RNAcentral lists this ribosomal RNA (460 nucleotides) under uncultured bacterium. Its description in RNAcentral is "partial 16S ribosomal RNA". It matches the Rfam family "Bacterial small subunit ribosomal RNA", at positions 338 to 795 of the family's 1533-position model. The record is from RNAcentral.
CCUACGGGUGGCAGCAGUGAGGAAUAUUGGUCAAUGGACGAGAGUCUGAACCAGCCAAGUAGCGUGAAGGAUGACUGCCCUAUGGGUUGUAAACUUCUUUUAUAUGGGAAUAAAAUGAUCCACGUGUGGGAUUUUGUAUGUACCAUAUGAAUAAGGAUCGGCUAACUCCGUGCCAGCAGCCGCGGUAAUACGGAGGAUCCGAGCGUUAUCCGGAUUUAUUGGGGUUAAAGGGAGCGUAGGUGGACUGUUAAGUCAGUUGUGAAAGUUUGCGGCUCAACCGUAAAAUUGCAGUUGAUACUGGCAGUCUUGAGUACAGUAGAGGUGGGCGGAAUGCGUGGUGUAGCGGUGAAAUGCUUAGAUAUCACGAAGAACUCCGAUUGCGAAGGCAGUUCACUGGACUGCAACUGACACUGAGGCUCGAAAGUGUGGGUAUCAAACAGGAUUAGAUACCCGAGUAGUC